GCCUGAGUAGCUCAGCCUGGUUAGAGCGCUACUUUUGUAAAGUAGAUGUCGUCGGGUUCAAAUCCCACCUCAGGCUCCA
Molecule: transfer RNA, 79 nt
Filed under: Patescibacteria group bacterium
Lineage: Bacteria
Description: tRNA-Thr
Rfam family: tRNA
About the family: Transfer RNA (tRNA) molecules are approximately 80 nucleotides in length.
Source: RNAcentral